Molecule: long non-coding RNA, 2591 nt
Organism: Triplophysa rosa
Lineage: Eukaryota; Metazoa; Chordata; Actinopteri; Cypriniformes; Nemacheilidae
Exons: 5
Source: RefSeq, a predicted model, not a curated record
AUAUUAAGUAAAGAUCAUGUUCCAUGAAGAUAUUUAGUAAAUUUCCUACCUUAAAUAUAUAAAAACUUUAUUUUUGUGAGUGGAUGGUCUGCCACAGUGCCCCUGAUUAACAACUUCAAAGGCAAUUUUCUCAAUAUUUUGAUUCUUUUGCUCUCUCAGAUUCCUGAGUUUUAAACGGUUGUCAGAUAUUGUCCUAUUCUAACAACUCAUAUAUCUAUAGAAAGUUUAUUUAUUCAGUUUUCAGAUUAUGUAAAAAUCUCAAUUUCGAAAAAUUGACCCAUAAGAUUGUUUUGUUGUCCAGGGUCACAAAUGAUAAAAUAUUAAACUAAAUAAUUUAAAUGAGAUAAAUAAUGGAAAUAAUAAACAAAAUAAAAUAAUCUAAUAGUUUAAGUUAGUCUAAUAGUUUAAAUUAGUAAAAGUAUGUAAUACAAUACAUUAAAUUGCGACCAGUAGUAAUUGCAGUUAAAAAUGUAUUCAUAUUCAUGUUUAUACAUAUAAAGUUUACUCUGUUGUUAUUGUUGUUGUUGUUAAAAUGUUAUUUGUCUGUUGUUUGUCAACUGUCCAUGUUCUUGAAAACUCCUCCUGUUGGUUUUAUGAGAACGUGAACGUUUCGCUUGCGCUUCGAAUCGAAUGAAUUUCGUUUUCCUCUCAAACAAGGUUAGCAGAAUGUAUUUAUAUAAGCUUCCGGGCAUUUUCAAACAUAACCAGCUGUGUCAUUUUCUGUUUUCAAAACUAGCCGGCAAGCUCCCCAGCACGAAACACACAUUCAGAUGAAACCAAUCUCCUCUUCCUCAGAAACCUUCUCUGCCGCUGCGAGAUGGAUAUGUCUCCAGACAAAACAGAAGCUCACUUGUCAACAUGUGGACUCGAGGUAAAAUGACAAACAACGACAGUUUCAAACUCAGAAGUGAUGAGACCACCUGAGCAACACACACACUGAUGAAAACCAAGAACCAAGAUUCUGAUAAUCAACCGUCUGCUGUGAUUGGCCUAGAGACUUUAUCGGUUUUAAUAAAAGCGAAGUCUCAGAGUCUGCGGAACAGAAUGCUAAGAUGGCAGUGGGACUACAGAAGGGAUCACAGAGAAUAAUUGAAGAAACAUUCUCAAACACAGGACUGCCAAAAACGGUUGAACACAAGAGUAGAUAUGCUGGUGACAACAACGGCGGUACCCAUUCACUUGCAUCAGUUUUGUGCCCAUACAAGACGAAUUUCAAUAGAUUUGGAUCGUGUCUUUCACUAUACAAAUUUCUUCAAAACAGCUUUGUCUUACAAACACCCAAGUGAAAGCGCCAGAGGCAACAGUGGUGAGAAAAACAUCCUGAGAUGUUGGAUGAGGAUGAAACCCGGGGAGGAACCAAGACUUGGACGGGCAUGUGUUUAAACAAAUCUUUGCAAAGCAUUUAUACACUCAUAGGAAACAAAUGAGACUUUUAUUCUUUUUCAUAGACAGCUAUUAGAUUUAAGAGAGGAUAAAUGGUGUUACAAUUUUUGGAUUUUUCAUUUAGGAUCAUCUCUAUGGAUUUUCUCUAGAGUUUCAUAGAGAUCUCAGCAAUGUCCUAAAUUGUGCUCAAAUUUGCACAUUUCAAUUGGAUCUGCUGUUAGAUAAAAAGUGGGAUAAAAUGUCCUCACGUUCACAUAUCUUAUUGUUUCUGCACUUUCAUCCGGGUGUAUGUUAUCCAGCUAUGCAUCAUAUACAACCCCAGAGCCGCCGGUUUAAGUCAGCUGCAAUAAAAUACUGUAACUCAAAGACAGGAAAUUGCAUGUGCAAUUGAUCGAGCAGAAAGUCUUAAAAGUGAACAUUUCUUAAAAGUAACCCUGCCGUCAUAUUCCGUGGGUGGAAGUUGAACUUGAUAUUGUAUAUUUUCCAUAGUGCCAUGAAUGCUAGAGGUCAUGUUUUCUAAAUUUAACACUACCGCAUGUCAAGCUUUUGGUCCACACUGUAAAGUCACAGUGUGCAUGAUUCGGUCAGGCAGUGGCUUCCAUCUAAAAUGUUAUCAGAUACUGCAUGUGCCAUUGAAUUUACUGUAAUACAACUCACAGUUCUUUGAUGACAAAUGAGCCAUUUUUGUCUGAAUGGUUCUAUACAGGAUCUUUCUUUUUUGUAGUAGAAAAAUGUUCUUUGAUUAUAAAAAGUGAGAAAGAAAUGGUUCUUAUAAGAAAUAUUUUAGAAAUAUAUAGAAAGAUAUUUUAUGGUACCACUGUGAGUUAACAGUAUCUGCCAAAUGCAUAGAUGUAAACAUAUACAGCCACAGAAAAACAUUAAGAGAUCAUUUCAAAAUAUGUUUUCAGUUGUUCUGAAUUUACGUGUUUAGGUGAAAUUAUCACUUUUGUUUCAUUUGAACUACUAACAACAUUUCUCCCAAAUUUAAAAUAAAAAUAUUGUUUCUAUUUGCAUUCAUUUGCAGAAAAUGAAAACUGGAGAAACCGGUCAAAAUUACAGGAAAGAUGCUCUGUAUUUUUUCAGACCUCAAAUACUGCAAGAAAACAAGUUCAUAUUCACUUUUAAGCAAUAUUUGAAGAGUUUGGUUCCAAAAUGAGAACUCAAUUUCUUUCAAAAAUCAUGUUUUUUAUUGUGCAUUCCAAUUAAUA